Sebastes umbrosus (honeycomb rockfish) is the source of this 519-nucleotide long non-coding RNA. RefSeq lists it as uncharacterized. The record is from RefSeq and is a predicted model, not a curated record. The transcript is spliced from 3 exons. NCBI's taxonomy places the organism in Eukaryota, Metazoa, Chordata, Actinopteri, Perciformes, Sebastidae.
CAGACAUGGAUGUAUUAAAGGCUACAGACCGCUGGAAUCGACUCAGAAACUAUCCAGAGACAUUGGAGUAGCCUUUAGCAUCGCUGAUAUGCCCUUGAACACAACUUUUGAUCACAAAACAGCAAAGUGCACGUGAGCGCGCCCCACUGGCUAGCUCACGGCCACCGCUCUGCACUGUGCUCAUUUGGCGGUUACAGCCGAUUACGCCGGCCCGACUGACGCGUCGUCACAGAAGCGUGGCGCUCACCCUCCAUUACCCGCUCAGUGCAUCAUCUGAGCGCGCCCCACUGGCUAGCUCACGGCAGCCGCUCUGCACUGCACUCAUACGGUGAUCACAGCUGAUAAGGCCGGACCGACCGACUGCGUCGUCACGGAAGCGUGGCACCCACCCUCCGGUUCCCCCUCAGGUAAACACGGUUAGCUCUGUCAGCAUUGUUGCCUUUGUUUGCACUGGUAGCGCUGUUUGCACCGUUAGCUGAGAGCCAUUGGCUCAGCCAUCGCCAUGUGGAGGCAAUAGAU